RNAcentral lists this small RNA (72 nucleotides) under Fuerstiella marisgermanici. RNAcentral's name for it is "Fuerstia marisgermanicae int-alpA RNA". It matches the Rfam family "int-alpA RNA". Rfam says of the family: Acidobacteria (1 example), Planctomycetes (1 example), Proteobacteria. Lineage: Bacteria; Pseudomonadati; Planctomycetota; Planctomycetia; Planctomycetales; Planctomycetaceae. The record is from Rfam by way of RNAcentral.
ACCAGACAUAGGCUUAGCGGCUGAAAAGCGGAACCCGAAACCGCCUGGUCUGGUGCUUUUUUUGUUUUCGGG